CUGUCUUUGCAAGCUUCAGAAAUACAACUUUCUUUAGGGAGAAGGAGAGUGAGACCAGAACCUAUUCAGAAGCCGACAGCUCCUACCUGGAUGGAUGUUAGAACAGGAUGAGUCACAGCCUGUUGGUUGGGACCUAGUCACUGGUUUCACCUACCUGCAAGAAAGAAUAGGAAAUGAAGUAGUUAUCCAG
This 190-nucleotide long non-coding RNA is filed under the name Mustela putorius furo (domestic ferret). RNAcentral's name for it is "lncRNA (ENSMPUG00000024321.1)". Lineage: Eukaryota; Metazoa; Chordata; Mammalia; Carnivora; Mustelidae. The record is from RNAcentral.